This 253-nucleotide ribosomal RNA is filed under the name uncultured bacterium. RNAcentral's name for it is "partial 16S ribosomal RNA". It matches the Rfam family "Bacterial small subunit ribosomal RNA", at positions 524 to 776 of the family's 1533-position model. The record is from RNAcentral.
UACGUAGGCAGCAAGCGUUGUUCGGAGUUACUGGGCGUAAAGGGUGCGUAGGCGGCUUUUUAAGUUUGGUGUGAAAUCUCCCGGCUCAACUGGGAGGGUGCGCCGAAUACUGAGAGGCUAGAGUGUGGGAGAGGAAAGUGGAAUUCCUGGUGUAGCGGUGAAAUGCGUAGAUAUCAGGAGGAACACCGGUGGUGUAAACGGCUUUCUGGACCAUAACUGACGCUGAGGCGCGAAAGCGUGGGGAGCAAACAGG